This 625-nucleotide ribosomal RNA is filed under the name Streptomyces sp. Ri3Ps_5424. RNAcentral's name for it is "bacterial SSU rRNA". It matches the Rfam family "Bacterial small subunit ribosomal RNA", at positions 387 to 1020 of the family's 1533-position model. Lineage: Bacteria; Bacillati; Actinomycetota; Actinomycetes; Kitasatosporales; Streptomycetaceae. The record is from RNAcentral.
UGCAGCGACGCCGCGUGAGGGAUGACGGCCUAUCGGGUUGUAAACCUCUUUCAGCAGGGAAGAAGCGAGAGUGACGGUACCUGCAGAAGAAGCGCCGGCUAACUACGUGCCAGCAGCCGCGGUAAUACGUAGGGCGCAAGCGUUGUCCGGAAUUAUUGGGCGUAAAGAGCUCGUAGGCGGCUUGUCGCGUCGGAUGUGAAAGCCCGGGGCUUAACCCCGGGUCUGCAUUCGAUACGGGCAGGCUAGAGUUCGGUAGGGGAGAUCGGAAUUCCUGGUGUAGCGGUGAAAUGCGCAGAUAUCAGGAGGAACACCGGUGGCGAAGGCGGAUCUCUGGGCCGAUACUGACGCUGAGGAGCGAAAGCGUGGGGAGCGAACAGGAUUAGAUACCCUGGUAGUCCACGCCGUAAACGUUGGGAACUAGGUGUGGGCGACAUUCCACGUCGUCCGUGCCGCAGCUAACGCAUUAAGUUCCCCGCCUGGGGAGUACGGCCGCAAGGCUAAAACUCAAAGGAAUUGACGGGGGCCCGCACAAGCAGCGGAGCAUGUGGCUUAAUUCGACGCAACGCGAAGAACCUUACCAAGGCUUGACAUACACCGGAAACGUCUGGAGACAGGCGCCCCCUUG